RNAcentral lists this ribosomal RNA (1251 nucleotides) under Acinetobacter sp. RNAcentral's name for it is "bacterial SSU rRNA". It matches the Rfam family "Bacterial small subunit ribosomal RNA", at positions 33 to 1321 of the family's 1533-position model. Lineage: Bacteria; Pseudomonadati; Pseudomonadota; Gammaproteobacteria; Moraxellales; Moraxellaceae. The record is from RNAcentral.
GUGGUUGCGGCAGCUUACCAUGCAGUCGAGCGGGCGCAGGUUGCUUCGGUGACUCGAGCUAGCGGCGGACGGGUGAGUAAUGCUUAGGAAUCUGCCUAUUAGUGGGGGACAACAUUCCGAAAGGAAUGCUAAUACCGCAUACGCCCUACGGGGGAAAGCAGGGGAUCUUCGGACCUUGCGCUAAUAGAUGAGCCUAAGUCACAUUAGCUAGUUGGUGGGGUAAAGGCCUACCAAGGCGACGAUCUGUAGCGGGUCUGAGAGGAUGAUCCGCCACACUGGGACUGAGACACGGCCCAGACUCCUACAGGAGGCAGCAGUGGGGAAUAUUGGACAAUGGGCGAAAGCCUGAUCCAGCCAUGCCGCGUGUGUGAAGAAGGCCUUUUGGUUGUAAAGCACUUUAAGCGAGGAGGAGGCUACUUGGAUUAAUACUCUAGGAUAGUGGACGUUACUCGCAAAAUAAGCACCGGCUAACUCUGUGCCACCAGCCGCGGUAAUACAGAGGGUGCGAGCGUUAAUCGGAUUUACUGGGCGUAAAGCGUGCGUAGGCGGCUUUUUAAUUCUGAUGUGAAAUCCCUGAGCUUAACUUACGAAUUGCAUUCUAUACUGGGAAGCUAAAGUAUGGGAGAGGAUGGUAGAAUUCCAAGUGUACCGGUGAAAUGCGUAGAGAUCUGGAGGAAUACCGAUGGCGAAGGCAGCCAUCUGGCCUAAUACUGACGCUGACGUACGAAAGCAUGGGGAGCAAACAGGAUUAGAUACCCUGGUACUCCAUGCCGUAAACGAUGUCUACUAGCCGUUGGGGCCUUUGAGGCUUUAGUGGCGCAGCUAACGCGAUAAGUAUACCGCCUGGGGAGUACGGUCGCAAGACUAAACUCAAAUGAAUUGAGGGUGCCCGCACACCCGGUGGAGCAUGUGGUUUAUUCUAUACUACGCGAAAACCUUACCUGGUCUUGACUAUAGAACUUUCCAGAGAUGGAUGGUGCUUCGGAACUACAUACAGAUGCUGCAUGCUGUCGUCAGCUCCUGUCGUGAAUGUUAGAUUAAGUCCUGCACCAGCCCAACCCUUUCCCUAGUCGCACGGCUAGCCUAGCCUUAAGGAUACUGGCAGUGACGACUGAGGAGCGGAGACACGCAGUCAUCAUGCCUACCACUAGGCCUACGCGCUGCCUACGAUGACGUCAAAGGUUGCGACUAGACAAGAGUCGAUCAGGCGAUCGAAUCCGAAUGGAGUCGGAGCCUGCACACUGAGUGCAG